Molecule: long non-coding RNA, 1022 nt
Filed under: Equus asinus (donkey)
Lineage: Eukaryota; Metazoa; Chordata; Mammalia; Perissodactyla; Equidae
Description: lncRNA (ENSEASG00005032754.1)
Source: RNAcentral
GGGAAUCGGGAUUUUUAAAAGCUCCCCUCGUGGCGGGCCCCGUGGCCGAGUGGUUAAGUUCUCUCGUUCCGCUUCGGAGCGCCGGUUCAGAUCCUGGGCGCAGACAUGGCACCACUCAUCAGGCCAUCCUGUGGAGUCAUCCCACAUGCCACAACUAGAAGGACCCACAACUAAAAUAUACAAGAAAUUGCAAUUGAAGAAAGAUCUUACAUCAUACCAAGAGCGGAGGUUCCAGAGACGUGAUUUUCAAUUUAUCAAGAUGGGCAAUGGAUACUUUCAGUGUUCCUUGAGUAACAGAAAUGGCUUUUUUAUUGGAUGCUUGAUGAUUGAUUUUCUACAGUCCUCCACCUAACAUAAUUUCUACCACUUACAUCAACAGUUGACUUCCACCCAACACUCUUCCUGAGCAUAUUUUAUUUUCUUUAUAGUACUCAUGAUUUGCCAAAUUAUCUUGUUUAAUACAUUUGUUUGUUCUUGAAAUCUGCCUUCUCCACAAGAAUAUAAACCCCGCAAGGACUGGUACCUGCUAUAUCUCUAUGUCUUUGAAAGUGCUUGGCAUCUAGUAGGGAUGAAAAAUAAUAUUUGUUCAAUGAAUCAUGAUGUGAUCAGCUUGGGGCCUUUAGAUAGUCAAGGUGAUUGUGUCACGGGUUAUUUGGUGACAGCUAUGUUCUUAACACUACAUAUUUUCUCUGAAAAGAAAUUCACCUGGAAAAGAAAAUACCCUAGUACAUUAGGCCGAUAAGUCUGUGCUAGGCAGAUUUCCUCGUCAAAGUGGUCCUCAGAUCAAGGCUCUGUGCCAUCUGUCCAGAGACGUUCCAUUGCUCAGGAGUCAGGGACAAGCACUUGUUACCCCCGAUGCUUUACUUUAAACAAAAUAAAAGCAUGCUGCAACUCCCACCCUAUGUACUCCCAGAGUAAGAUCUAGAAUUACAAAGCUCCAAGAGUUUCCAAUCUCAGUGGAAAAUUGGCUGUCACAUGGAACGAGAUAUAUACUAACUGAUUUUGCCAUGCAAUUGGGUUCU